GAUGAACGCUGACAGAAUGCUUAACACAUGCAAGUCAACUUGAACUUCGGUUUGGGUGGCGGACGGGUGAGUAACGCGUAAAGAACUUGCCUCACAGCUAGGGACAACAUUUGGAAACGAAUGCUAAUACCUGAUAUUAUGAUUUUAGGGCAUCCUAGAAUUAUGAAAGCUAUAUGCGCUGUGAGAGAGCUUUACGUCCCAUUAGCUAGUUGGAGAGGUAACGGCUCACCAAGGCGAUGAUGGGUAGCCGGCCUGAGAGGGUGAACGGCCACAAGGGGACUGAGACACGGCCCUUACUCCUACGGGAGGCAGCAGUGGGGAAUAUUGGACAAUGGACCAAGAGUCUGAUCCAGCAAUUCUGUGUGCACGAUGAAGUUUUUCGGAAUGUAAAGUGCUUUCAGUUGGGAAGAAAAAAAUGACGGUACCAACAGAAGAAGUGACGGCUAAAUACGUG
Molecule: ribosomal RNA, 454 nt
Filed under: uncultured bacterium
Lineage: Bacteria
Description: partial 16S ribosomal RNA
Rfam family: Bacterial small subunit ribosomal RNA
Source: RNAcentral